This is an RNA transcript of Tachysurus vachellii, 1646 nucleotides long. It is a transcript of the gene named superoxide dismutase 3, extracellular a, with no coding region annotated. The transcript is spliced from 4 exons. NCBI's taxonomy places the organism in Eukaryota, Metazoa, Chordata, Actinopteri, Siluriformes, Bagridae. The record is from RefSeq and is a predicted model, not a curated record.
UUUAGGCUGUUGACUCUGUUGGGAUCAGAACUACAGAAAUGGUCUCUUUGGGAUCUUCCAUAUGGGCAGCACAACAACAAUAACUGGACCCAAUAAAUAAGUUAAGGAAGAAUGUGAGGAGCCAACAUCAGUUAUCUGUGUGACCAGGGUCAAGCAAAAGGAUUCUUGUGGAUUUACAGCCUAUUCCUAGAACACUGGGCAUGAGGUGGAAAUACAACCUUCAAUGGCAGAUUGUACACACACAUUUGCACAAUCACUGACACUUUUUGUGUAAGUGGGAAGAAACCAGAGAACCCAGAGAGAACGCAUAUGGACACAGGGAGAACAUUAUAGACUUUUUAGACGAUCCUACUUUCCACAGUCCUAACUGAAAGCACAUUCCCAACCCAUCUUAGACUCAUACCUGCACUCAGAUCUGACAGUGUCUCCUUAUUCCUCUAUGAAUAAUUGAACAGUGUCUGUGUGCAUCCUCCUGAACCAAUGUGCUGUUCUUUGUCUAAAACAACCUAAGAGUGAGUAGGGAAUAUCUUCCUUCCUGUGGAGUAGCUGUGGCAGGAGACUGACGAUCUGACACUGAGGCAGUGGGGGCAUGUGAUGGGGACGCUGGGCUGAUGUGGGGGAUGGAGGGUGUGAAGUAGAUUGUCGACUUCAAUCGGCAUCAUAUCAACAGCUUGAUUUCCCCCUGAGCCCGCUGGAGCCGAGACAAGUUAAGCAGUGGCAGAGAAAGGAGUAAUGAAUUGGGCGGGCUUCUCUUCUGUCAUAAACAGUGACUCAGAUGAUCUGUGGGAGCAAUGAAAAGAUGACGCAAAGCGGAUACUCCCUCUGAGCUUGCAAACAUACAAACUUAAGUUGCUACCAAACUUUAGGAUUCUAACCUCACAUUCAUACUUGUUCCUAUAGCCUGUGUCUUCUUCAUACGAUACAAUAACUCCCAUUCCAAGGACUUUCCCCUCUGCCUUUUUAGCGUUCAGCGUCAUUAGAAAACAAAUAAUGUUGCUUAUUUCAUCCUUUUGUCAUGUAUAGUGUUUUGGCUAAAACUCUAGCAUAAAUAUGUGAUAUUGUCUAAGUAUUGUUAAUUAUGUAUUAAUAAAUGUCAAUUAUCCUAUUAUUAUAAAUAGAUUUCCAAUAUAUGCAUUCUCUCUGUUGUUAAAGAUCCUGCUCUAUGUGAAGAUCCUAUGCGGUGUUGACUAUUUUCCAAUUUCCAAUACACACAUUUACUCAAACCCUCCUAAGAAAAGGCAAGUGGUCUCCCAGUGUUCCAUGUGGCUAAUUUCCCAUAAUCACUUGUGGGCUAGACUGGCACAGCAGUGGCUCUGUGCACAGCUUCAAUAGAGCAUAAUCCAACCUGCCGUUCCACACAGCCCGCCAACAUGACACAUCAGAUACAUCAGCUGGCGUGCUGCCUCACCCUAGCCUGGCUUCUCGAGAAUUUCUGCCCAUAUGACUGAGAAAGAGUGUGGCAAUGUGUGUGUGUGUGAAUAUAGCACAGUGAGAUCAAAAAUAGAAAAGCCAUGCCUUCUGCAGAAUACACAAUUGAGUUUUUGGCUUAGAUCAUGCCGUUUGCUCAGAAAAGCUGACUGCCAGCUGAGUCCAUGGUGAGACGAAAUAUGUAUGUGUGUGUGUGUGUGUGUGUGUGGACAACCUGA